GACAGAGGGGGCAAGCGUUGCUCGGAAUUACUGGGCGUAAAGGGCGCGUAGGCGGGAUGGCAAGUCGGUCGUGAAAUACCUCGGCUCAACUGAGGAGCGUCGAUCGAAACUGCCGUUCUUGAGGGUUGCAGAGGAGACUGGAAUUCCUGGUGUAGCGGUGAAAUGCGUAGAUAUCGGGAGGAACACCGGUGGCGAAGGCGGCUACCUGGACAGAAACUGACGCUGAGGCGCGAAAGCUAGGGGAGCAAACAGG
Molecule: ribosomal RNA, 253 nt
Filed under: uncultured bacterium
Lineage: Bacteria
Description: partial 16S ribosomal RNA
Rfam family: Bacterial small subunit ribosomal RNA
Source: RNAcentral